AGGUUGUUUAGAGACAGUCAGCUAUUUGAUGAGGUUAGAUAUAUUACCUUUUGCAUCAUGAUCUGUUGAAGGUUGUUUCUGAUUUGUGAUUAUCCGAAAGAUGUCGAUAUCUGUUCUUAUAGCUUUGAGAUUAUUCCUAAGGCGGGUAGCCUAGGUGAAAUAAGGAUAGUGUUUUGAUAAAUAAUUCGGGAUAUCUUAUAUCUGGUUGGGGACUGUCUUGUUAUAUUAUUUAACUGGCUAUGGUGUUAGUUAAAGGAUUAUAGAUUUUUUUGUAUUGGAUGAUCCCCGGGGUUAAAGUUACCCCCGGGGUUUGGGUGUGUUAAUACUCUCUUUUCAUUUUUUGUUUCUUAAUUUUAGAGGUCCCCCCUAUUAAUAUUUGUUUUUGUAGUAUGAUAGAAUAAGUAGGUUUUUAAUGCUUUCAUUUUUUCUCGAUUACCUUCGGUCUGUUUAUUAAAAACAUUUCUAUCUUUUUUAUUAGAUAGUAGUGCCUGCCCAAUGCUUUUGUUAAUGGCCGCAGUAUCUUGACUGUGCUAAGGUAGCAUAAUUAGUUGCCUCAUAAUUAGGGGAUUGUUUGAAUGGUUUGACCAGAGGGUUUAAUUAGAUUGGAAGUCUUUCUGAAAUUGGUUUGUUGGUGCAGAACCCAACAGGCGUUAGUUAGACGGAAAGACCCCGAGAUCUUUAUGUUGUGGUAUUUACUUGGGGCAAGGCUAUAUUUUUUAUGUAGUUGUUGAUCCUUUUGGAUUAUAGGCUUAAGUUACCUCGGGGAUAACUAGGUAAAAGACAAGGAGAGACCUAAUCGAUUUGUUUGAUUGCCAUCUCGAUGUUGACUUGGGAAAUAUAUUAGGGUGCAGAAGUUUUAGUAUUUGGUCUGUUCGACCACUAUUCCCUCAUGAGUUGAGUUAAGACCGGCGUGAGCCAGGUCGGUUCUUAUCUACUGUUGCUGUAAAUUAGUACGAAAGGAUUGUUUACAUUUUAAG
RNAcentral lists this ribosomal RNA (977 nucleotides) under Echinostoma revolutum. RNAcentral's name for it is "16S ribosomal RNA". The stretch from base 627 to 977 matches the Rfam family "Bacterial large subunit ribosomal RNA", at positions 2048 to 2687 of the family's 2925-position model. Lineage: Eukaryota; Metazoa; Platyhelminthes; Trematoda; Plagiorchiida; Echinostomatidae. The record is from RNAcentral.